RNAcentral lists this long non-coding RNA (1749 nucleotides) under Homo sapiens (human). RNAcentral's name for it is "HSALNT0027460". Lineage: Eukaryota; Metazoa; Chordata; Mammalia; Primates; Hominidae. The record is from RNAcentral.
GACUUCCAACUGCAAACCCUUACUGGCUGUUGUCCUCUGCCAGGCACUGUGCUGAGCCCCAUGGAGGCACCAGCCUCUUCGAUGGUGGCAUUUUAAGGCCUACAAUGGCAGAGAAACGUCGUGGAGGAGUGAGGGUAUUUCCAGCCAUGGCUGGAAACUGACCCUGAAUCCGAGCGUUCUCUGGUCUGGACAGAGUGCCAGGCCUGUGGCAAAGCAGGUAACCUUUGAAACGGAAUCUGAUCUGCUGUCGGCCACUGCCCAGGCCACAGUCUGCCAAAGGGACAGCUGAACGAAAGGCUCAACUUCCUCCUUCAUCAGCUCCAAGUUCCAGGACAAGAGGCAGAACCAGGUGCCACCGAGCCUGCCACAGGUUUCUGCUUCUUGCCAAGUGUCUAUCUCUUACUCUACCGACCAUCACCAUUGACGUGUGUGAGGGGACAUCUGGAAGCACAGUCCUCUAAGGUGGCAGCUGAGGCUUACUACCCCAGGAAAGGGAUGCCACCAGAGAAGGCAGACAACCAAGAUGGCGACUCUCAAUUUUUGAGCUCCUAAUUUUCUCAUGUCAGACAUAAGAAAAAAAAAUAUUUUUUAAAGAAAAAGCUUUAGGUUGCAAAAAUCUAGGCCUUUCAACUUUAAAAUCCUAUUCUUGCAAGCCUUGGAGAAUAAAGCUUAUGCAUAAACAGUAGAUUUGGAAACAGAAAUAUGCCUAAUUACCCAGAGCCAUUCUUUCAAUACGCCAGUGAUUGUUUAAAGAUUCUAUAGGCUGGAGUCAAUGGCAGGAGGCGGGUGGGAAAAGAGUCAAGAGGGAGGAGAGAAGAAGCAAGAGGGUUGGGUAGAUAUUGUCACAUGACCCUGAGAGGAGGAUUCUGGGUCAAACCCCUAGGGGGUUGUGUGUAAUGGAGACUCCAGAUCCAUUUGGGAAUCUGGCUCCAAAGAAGACUUCACCUUGCCUUCUGAGUGGAGCCCUGAAGUGGCAAGACUCAUAGAAUUCCCCCACGGGUCCACACAAGAGAGAAUGAAUAGAGAAGGCUGCGUGCUGGCUGGACCAAGGCAGCCUCGGGUGACACCACCACCACCACCGCCGCUGCCGCCAUCGCCAUCACCACUGCCGCUGCCAUCACCGCCACCACCACCACCAUCACCACCACCAUCACCACAUUAUGGACAAUAGCCCAAUGUUUCCUGAGUUCCCUAGAGGGUUGAAAGAGAAUAGGACCUAGAGAGAUCACAUAGUUGGGACAGGCACUCAUUAAUUUGAUCCAAUGACAAGAGACCAGAUGGGAAGAAGGAUGCCUUGAGAGAUGUCAGUGUGCACCCAUGGAUAGAAGCAGCUGGUGACUGGGUACUUGGGAAGCCACAUGGACACACACAAAGCUCCUGGAAGACGUUUUCAAGGAGUUGGGCUGUGCUGGGAUCCAGAACUGGCUGAAGAAACCAUGAGCUGACAUAAAAUUUCUGCCACCUAGCAGAAUGGAGGCUCCAUUUGGAAAUUAAAUUAUAUACUUAAAAAAACUAUAAUUGCUUCAUUUCUUUUUUUUGAGAUGGAGUUUCACUCUUGUUGCCCAGGCUGUAGUGCAAUGGCACCAUCUCAGCUCACUGCAAACUCCGCUCCCGGGUUCAAGAGGUGAUCCUGCCUCAGCCUCCCGAGUAGCUAGGAUUACAGGUGUGCGGCCACCAUGCCCCGCUAAUUUUGUAUUUUCAGUAGAGACGGGGUUUUACCAUGUUGGUCAAGCUGGUCUCAAACUCCUG